This 1127-nucleotide ribosomal RNA is filed under the name Segatella copri. RNAcentral describes it as "bacterial SSU rRNA". It matches the Rfam family "Bacterial small subunit ribosomal RNA", at positions 122 to 1251 of the family's 1533-position model. The record is from RNAcentral. Lineage: Bacteria; Pseudomonadati; Bacteroidota; Bacteroidia; Bacteroidales; Prevotellaceae.
CAACCUGCCCACCACUUGGGGAUAACCUUGCGAAAGUAAGACUAAUACCCAAUGACGUCUCUAGAAGACAUCUGAAAGAGAUUAAAGAUUUAUCGGUGAUGGAUGGGGAUGCGUCUGAUUAGCUUGUUGGCGGGGUAACGGCCCACCAAGGCUACGAUCAGUAGGGGUUCUGAGAGGAAGGUCCCCCACAUUGGAACUGAGACACGGUCCAAACUCCUACGGGAGGCAGCAGUGAGGAAUAUUGGUCAAUGGACGAGAGUCUGAACCAGCCAAGUAGCGUGCAGGAAGACGGCCCUAUGGGUUGUAAACUGCUUUUAUAAGGGAAUAAAGUGAGUCUCGUGAGACUUUUUGCAUGUACCUUAUGAAUAAGGACCGGCUAAUUCCGUGCCAGCAGCCGCGGUAAUACGGAAGGUCCGGGCGUUAUCCGGAUUUAUUGGGUUUAAAGGGAGCGUAGGCCGGAGAUUAAGCGUGUUGUGAAAUGUAGAUGCUCAACAUCUGCACUGCAGCGCGAACUGGUUUCCUUGAGUACGCACAAAGUGGGCGGAAUUCGUGGUGUAGCGGUGAAAUGCUUAGAUAUCACGAAGAACUCCGAUUGCGAAGGCAGCUCACUGGAGCGCAACUGACGCUGAAGCUCGAAAGUGCGGGUAUCGAACAGGAUUAGAUACCCUGGUAGUCCGCACGGUAAACGAUGGAUGCCCGCUGUUGGUCUGAAUAGGUCAGCGGCCAAGCGAAAGCAUUAAGCAUCCCACCUGGGGAGUACGCCGGCAACGGUGAAACUCAAAGGAAUUGACGGGGGCCCGCACAAGCGGAGGAACAUGUGGUUUAAUUCGAUGAUACGCGAGGAACCUUACCCGGGCUUGAAUUGCAGAGGAAGGAUUUGGAGACAAUGACGCCCUUCGGGGUCUCUGUGAAGGUGCUGCAUGGUUGUCGUCAGCUCGUGCCGUGAGGUGUCGGCUUAAGUGCCAUAACGAGCGCAACCCCUCUCCUUAGUUGCCAUCAGGUUAAGCUGGGCACUCUGGGGACACUGCCACCGUAAGGUGUGAGGAAGGUGGGGAUGACGUCAAAUCAGCACGGCCCUUACGUCCGGGGCUACACACGUGUUACAAUGGCAGGUACAGAGAGAUGGU